This 312-nucleotide unclassified non-coding RNA is filed under the name Bombus terrestris (buff-tailed bumblebee). Its description in RNAcentral is "misc RNA ENSBTSG00005026498.1". Lineage: Eukaryota; Metazoa; Arthropoda; Insecta; Hymenoptera; Apidae. The record is from RNAcentral.
UUUUCUUUCAUGACAUCUCUGUAGUUAACAGCAAUCAACCAACAAUCUAAUACUAUCUUGCAAGAAGAUACGGGAACCUACCGGCAAGUCUGACAAUCGAAUAAACGAUCAAAGAAAAAAGAACAAAAUAAGUCUCGUGAUUACCUGAUUUUACUACCAAAAUGUUCAGUAAAGGAUAACGUAAACGUGCAUUAAUUAAACAAUAUUAAUCACAAUGUAUAAACAGUAAUACAAUAGUAAUGAAAAACUGACGCCAUCAAAAGGUUAGGUUACGCUACAAAUCUGACUCGAAGAAAUACGUCUAAUCGCGAC